This 492-nucleotide ribosomal RNA is filed under the name uncultured bacterium. Its description in RNAcentral is "partial 16S ribosomal RNA". It matches the Rfam family "Bacterial small subunit ribosomal RNA", at positions 29 to 507 of the family's 1533-position model. The record is from RNAcentral.
AGUGAACGCUGGCGGUAGGCCUAACACAUGCAAGUCGAACGGCAGCACAGUAAGAGCUUGCUCUUACGGGUGGCGAGUGGCGGACAGGUGAGGAAUACAUCGGAAUCUACUUUUUCGUGGGGGAUAACGUAGGGAAACUUACGCUAAUACCGCAUACGACCUACGGGUGAAAGCAGGGGAUCUUCGGACCUUGCGCGAUUGAAUGAGCCGAUGUCGGAUUAGCUAGUUGGCGGGGUAAAGGCCCACCAAGGCGACGAUCCGUAGCUGGUCUGAGAGGAUGAUCAGCCGCACUGGAACUGAGACACGGUCCAGACUCCUACGGGAGGCAGCAGUGGGGAAUAUUGGACAAUGGGCGCAAGCCUGAUCCAGCCAUACCGCGUGGGUGAAGAAGGCCUUCGGGUUGUAAAGCCCUUUUGUUGGGAAAGAAAAGCAGCAGGUUAAUACCCCGCUGUUCUGACGGUACCCAAAGAAUAAGCACCGGCUAACUUCGUG